Long non-coding RNA from Penaeus chinensis, 508 nucleotides. RefSeq lists it as uncharacterized. The record is from RefSeq and is a predicted model, not a curated record. The transcript is spliced from 2 exons. NCBI's taxonomy places the organism in Eukaryota, Metazoa, Arthropoda, Malacostraca, Decapoda, Penaeidae.
CCUACCGCGCUUCCAGCUGAUCUGAGGAGCGCCACUAAGAACCAAGGAAUCUUAGAAAUCCUCAAGUGCAACGUCUAAAAAGCGGGGAAAAUUACUUUGUUGAACGAAAGGACGUUAUCUCCACACGUAACGGAACUCACCUUCGAAGAUUAAAGACACGGGAUUAGAUGUAAAACACAAACAAAAAACAAUACUUUAAACAACAGCAAAAAAAGGGCAUAACAAAAAAAAACUAUCAACAGCAAAGGGGACAAUCUUCCACAGAGGUUUGUUUACGCCUAAGAACCCCUGUCCUCCACACCGUAAAGACAAAAGAGAAGAAAUUAUUUCCUCUAAAGACAGGCCAAAGAGCUCAAGUGAAAAGCUAAAUCUCCGACCACCCUUUCUGUGGCGCUGCGGGAAAAAUUCUGCAACGAAGCUGAAAGAACUGGUCACAAGGGUCCCAUCUCAUUACGCUGUGAGAAGAAAGUCUUCAUCAACGUAGGAGAGAGAAGGAAGACAAAGAGAA